CCUAGUCCAACCCUUACCAUUUCCUUUCAAUCCUUCCCUCUUAUAUAUCGGGAAAAUGAUGCUAAAAACAAAUUGAUGGCAAGGCACAAAUCUCCAAAUAUCAAGGGGAACGUGCCAUUUGAGCCAAUUUGUUCUGAUUCCUGAUUCCUGAUUCCUGAUACACUCCCGCUUUCGAGCUACCGUAGAUCGAAUCGGGUAAGAUGGAGGAGUUGAAUCGGUUGGGAUGAUUACUCUUGCCUUAUCAACCAAACAGCCCUUUAUAGCAAUCAGAGAUGUGUAGCUUGCAUGCAAGUUGAAGAAAAUUUGUAGAUUUCAUCAUAGCCGCCCCCCUUGAAAUCACAUUUCAAAACAAUAACAAAUCAAAAUCUUAGCUUAACUUAAUCCUAUCAUAAAUUUUUUUAAUCUAACAAGACUUUCCAAGCAGGAGCAAAGAAACAAUACGGAGGUAUGGUGGUAUCCAUUUUAACCAUUGUUGUGGGAUGUUUGGAUGCUCAUUUCAGUUGUUCCAACUUAUUGAUAUCUCCAAAAAGUGACUUCUUGCGAUGUAGGAAUGUUGCCAUGGUGGUGCUCAAAGGUACAGUUUAUAUCGUUCCAGACAUGAAACAACAAAAAGAUACAGGUAGCAAUGAACGAUGAAAUAGAGUUCUUGGACAGGGACUCACCUGGUGAGCCUGUUUGAGCAGGCGUUGAAUAAGUGUGUAUUUUUUUUUAACUGCUUCCCUCCGGGGCAUGCGAAAUUGAACGCAUUUCAGAGGUAUUUGUGCAGUAGUCAUCUGGUAGCAAACAUAUUUUAGAUACAGGCCGGGUAUAAAUUCCGGUUGCUGUCCGUAUAGUAACGACUCGAGUUACUCCAUCAGGACCAGGAUGUACGUUAAUAACUCGAGCAAGGUGCCACUGAACGGGAGGGGAGUACUCAUCGCACAUAAUUACUACUGAACCAGGGCGUAUGAUAGUAGAUGUACGAUUCUGCUCUGAUGCUUGCAACUCCGAUAAUGAUCGAGCCUGUUCAGGUUAACGUUGCUUAAAUCCUCUUCUGGUAAGGCCUUCAUACUCGUUCCAAUCAAGAAGUGAGCCGGAGUAAGUACAUCUAUAUCAUUAGGAUCAUCCGUGAGCGGGGUCAAAGGACGAGAGUUCAAGGCAGCCGCUAUCUGAACUAAAAGAGUUUGCAUGUCUUCUAAAUGCAAUCGAUGGUGUCCCAAUUCUUUUUUAAUUGCAGAUUUUGCACAGCGAACCGCGGAUUCCCAUAACCCACCAAAAUUCGGCGCUCUAGGUGGUAUGAAGACCCAUUUAACUCCUUGAGUAGCGCAUUCGGUGGCUAUGCGUUUUCGACUAACAGGAUUGUUGAGCGUAUGAUACAGUUCAUAUAAUUCGUGUUUUGCUCCAGCAAAAUUCUUCCCAUUAUCAGAGUGAAUUUCUGCGGGCAAUCCAUGAUGUCCUAUGAAUCGACGAAGUGCUAACAGGAAACAGGCAGUUGUUAGGAGCAGCUUUUCGGUAGAGCGGUUUAAGAUAUAUGGGACCACAGUAAUCCACACCAGUAAUCGUAAAAGGACGACUAGGCCGAACUCGAGCAGCGGGUAAUUGCCCUAAAGGUUGCCGAACAGGAACCGGGUUUGCUCGGAAGCAUCGAUAGCAGUUUCUCAGAACUGACUUGACAGCUCUUUUCCCAUGCAAUGGCCAAAAUUCUUGUCUCACUAGCGCCAACGUUAACCGAUGACCACCAUGGGUACUGAGCUGAUGAUAAUGAAGAAUAAUCAAUUUGGUGAAAGGAUGGGAUGUAGGGAGAAUAGCUGGGUGUUUUGCAUCGUAUAACUCUCCAGAAUGGUGCAGCCGUCCUCCAACCCUUAUGAUGCCAUCAUUAUCCAAAAAUGGUUUUAAUAGUCGAAUUGUAGAUUUGCGAGAGACAAACCGAUUCGAUUCCAAAAGCUUAAGGUCAUCGUGGAACUGCUCUCGCUGAACCAACCUGAUAAGGGUCAAUUUAGAACGUUUUAGUUCCUUUAUCGAGAUGAAAUUUUCGGUUAUCCGGGUUUUGGGAUAGCGACAAUUUCCGACGAAACGAAUGCAGUAGGCAACAGUUCGCAGCAGUGUGAACAGAUUUGAAAAGCGGCUAAAUAAAGCAUUAGUAUCGGUAACAGCAGCCAAGGAGAUCUUAGGCUCUCUAAUUUCCAAUUCUUCCGAUGGAAUUUUGUUUACUUGAUAGUUCAUUGGCCAACUUUCUUUUUCAUUGCGAAUCCAUUCAGGCCCUUGUUGCCACAAAUUGCUAUGUAAAAACGUCUCUACCGCCAUGCCCCUAGAUACCAAAUCUGCGGGAUUCUCUUUUCCGGAAACAUGAUUCCACCUAUUCCCAAAAGUAAGGGUUUGAAUCUCUGAUACGCGAUUCCCUACGAAGGUUUUCCAAGUAUUAGGAGGAGAUUGCAGCCAGUGUAGCACGAUUGUUGAGUCGCACCAAAAAUAAGAUUUGGAUCCUGUCAUUCCCAUUGCCUUGAUAACUUUGGAGUAUAAUUUCGCUGCUUCCAGAGAAGCACACAAUUCUAGUCUUGGUAAUGUUAAUCGUUUGAGGGGAGCAACCCGUGAUUUUGCUGCAAUUAGUCUAACUUUAACCUGUUUGGAUUGAUUUUCACUACGGAUGUAUAAACACGCCCCAUACGCCUUCUCUGAUGCAUCUGAAAAUACGUGAACCUGGGUCGCGAUAGCUUCCUCAAUGAAAGCAUAACGAUCUACUUGCAGUUCAUUCAAAAGAUGUAGUUGAUCAUAAAAUUCGUUCCAGCGAAAUUCGAAUUGCAUUGGAAGGGAGUCAUCCCAUUUUACGUGAAGCAAUGCUAGCUCUUGCAUGAAUAUUUUUGCUUUUACGAUGACAGGAGCCGCCAUUCCCAAAGGAUCGAAUAGACGAGAAAUGACGGAGAGAAUUUUGCGUUUAGUCCAAGACGCAUGGU
This is a long non-coding RNA of Malaya genurostris, 2930 nucleotides long. RefSeq lists it as uncharacterized. Lineage: Eukaryota; Metazoa; Arthropoda; Insecta; Diptera; Culicidae. The transcript has 3 exons. The record is from RefSeq and is a predicted model, not a curated record.